GCCUGCCUGACUCAGUCGGUGGAGUGUGUGACUUUUGAUCUUGGGGUUGUGGGUUCGAGCCCCACGUUGAGUG
This 73-nucleotide transfer RNA is filed under the name Ailuropoda melanoleuca (giant panda). It matches the Rfam family "tRNA". From Rfam's summary of the family: Transfer RNA (tRNA) molecules are approximately 80 nucleotides in length. Their secondary structure includes four short double-helical elements and three loops (D, anti-codon, and T loops). Lineage: Eukaryota; Metazoa; Chordata; Mammalia; Carnivora; Ursidae. The record is from Rfam by way of RNAcentral.